Molecule: ribosomal RNA, 497 nt
Filed under: uncultured bacterium
Lineage: Bacteria
Description: partial 16S ribosomal RNA
Rfam family: Bacterial small subunit ribosomal RNA
Source: RNAcentral
GAUGAACGCUGGCGGCGUGCCUAAUACAUGCAAGUCGAGCGAACGGACGAGAAGCUUGCUUCUCUGAUGUUAGCGGCGGACGGGUGAGUAACGCGUGGAUAACCUACCUAUAAGACUGGGAUAACUUCGGGAAACCGGAGCUAAUACCGGAUAAUAUUUUGAACCGCAUGGUUCAAAAGUGAAAGACGGUCUUGCUGUCACUUAUAGAUGGAUCCGCGCUGCAUUAGCUAGUUGGUAAGGUAACGGCUUACCAAGGCAACGAUGCAUAGCCGACCUGAGGGGGUGAUCGGCCACACUGGAACUGAGACACGGUCCAGACUCCUACGGGAGGCAGCAGUAGGGAAUCUUCCGCAAUGGGCGAAAGCCUGACGGAGCAACGCCGCGUGAGUGAUGAAGGUCUUCGGAUCGUAAAACUCUGUUAUUAGGGAAGAACAUAUGUGUAAGUAACUGUGCACAUCUUGACGGUACCUAAUCAGAAAGCCACGGCUAACUACGUG